GGCUCAAUGGUCUAGUCGUAUGAUUCCUGCUUUGGGUGCAGGAGGUCCCGGGUUCAAAUCCCGGUUGAGCCC
RNAcentral lists this transfer RNA (72 nucleotides) under Bipolaris maydis ATCC 48331. RNAcentral describes it as "tRNA-Pro (TGG) (tRNA-Pro-TGG-1-1)". It matches the Rfam family "tRNA". From Rfam's summary of the family: Transfer RNA (tRNA) molecules are approximately 80 nucleotides in length. RNAcentral also lists the same sequence under 2 other names. The record is from RNAcentral. Lineage: Eukaryota; Fungi; Ascomycota; Dothideomycetes; Pleosporales; Pleosporaceae.